GACAGCAGCCAUAUCACCCUGCAGCUCCCAGCUGGCAGCCCCACUGGAGCUCAGCAGGUGUGAGCCUGGUCAGUAUCUGGAUGGGAGACCUCCUGGGAAAGCUCAGGUUGCUGCUGGAA
This 119-nucleotide ribosomal RNA is filed under the name Lepisosteus oculatus (spotted gar). The record is from RNAcentral. Lineage: Eukaryota; Metazoa; Chordata; Actinopteri; Semionotiformes; Lepisosteidae.